Molecule: non-coding RNA, 46 nt
Organism: Schistosoma mansoni
Lineage: Eukaryota; Metazoa; Platyhelminthes; Trematoda; Strigeidida; Schistosomatidae
Source: Rfam
GCACUGCCUAAGAGUCCCAUACUAGGACGAAACGGCCGUCCAGUGC